Molecule: small nuclear RNA, 292 nt
Filed under: Rattus norvegicus (Norway rat)
Lineage: Eukaryota; Metazoa; Chordata; Mammalia; Rodentia; Muridae
Description: 7SK RNA
Rfam family: 7SK RNA
About the family: 7SK was discovered as an abundant small nuclear RNA in the mid-70s but a possible function has only recently been suggested. Two independent studies have found that 7SK RNA binds the CDK9/cyclin T complex (known as elongation factor P-TEFb).
Source: Rfam by way of RNAcentral
GGAUGUGAGGGCAAUCUGUCUGCAACAUCUGUCACCCCAUUGAUCACCAGGGUUGAUUUGGCUGAUCUGGCUGGCUAGGUGGGUGUCCCCUUCCUCCCUCACAGCUCCAUGUGCAUCCCUCCCAAAGCUGCACGCUCGGUCGAAGAGGACGACCUUCCCCAAAUAGAGGAGGACCGGUUUCAGUCAAAGGUAUACGAGUAACUGUGCUCCCCUGCUAGAACCUCCGAACAAGAAGGGACCAAGGCAGACUUUUUGCUCCUCCUGACCUGGAACCACCACAGCAUGAGGGUCA